GAUGGACGCUAGCGGCAGGCCUAACACAUGCAAGUCGAGGGAGAGGUUACCUUCGGGUACCCAAAACCGGCGCACGGGUGCGUAACGCGUAUACAAUCUGCCUUUCACAUAGGGAUAGCCCGAAGAAAUUUGGAUUAAUACCUAAUGGUAUAUAAGAGCGGCAUCGUUUUUAUAUUAAAGCUACGGUGGUGAAAGAUGAGUAUGCGUUCUAUUAGCUAGUUGGAGAGGUAACGGCUCCCCAAGGCGACGAUAGAUAGGGGUUCUGAGAGGGAUGUCCCCCACACUGGUACUGAGAUACGGACCAGACUCCUACGGGAGGCAGCAGUGAGGAAUAUUGGACAAUGGUCGGAAGACUGAUCCAGCCAUGCCGCGUGCAGGAUGAAGGUCCUAUGGAUUGUAAACUGCUUUUGUAAGGGAAGAAUAAGGAGUACGUGUACUUUGAUGACGGUACCUUACGAAUAAGCAUCGGCUAACUCCGUG
RNAcentral lists this ribosomal RNA (480 nucleotides) under uncultured bacterium. RNAcentral's name for it is "partial 16S ribosomal RNA". It matches the Rfam family "Bacterial small subunit ribosomal RNA", at positions 28 to 507 of the family's 1533-position model. The record is from RNAcentral.